GAAGUGAUUGUUUUUGCGGUGAAAAUCACGUUUUAUAAAAAAAAAAUUAAAAAUUUUUCUUUAUUUUCUUCUAUUUUGAUGCAUAUUAAAAAUAAUUUUUUGCUAUAUAUAUAUAUAUAUAUUAAUUUUUUUUUUGCUGAAAGUGCUACACUGACAAUUACAAACACUAUCUUCAUGUCAGAUAUCAAUAGCAUGGGAAGGAAGGAGAGGUGGGAGUUUUGCCAAUCCAUUACUAGUUACUACUUUCCAGGUUGUUGCUCAUACUCAGGUAAGUCCCAUUGAAGUUUUAGAUUGUUAAUUGUUGUUUCUUUUUUCUUUCCUAUUUUUAAUGCUUAAUGCCCUGUUUUGAAUAUGAAUGCAAUUUCAAAUUCUUUGAUUCACAUCAAUGGAGUUGUCAGGGUUUUUUUUUGGUGAUAUGUUAUGUAUUUCUAAUAUCUGACUUGUAAGAAUUCAAGUGCGUGGAGUAUAUUCCUCGGCUUUUAUUUUUCAUUUUCUUGUCCCUUUGUUCCUCUCAUUUUCAUGAGCCUCAAAAUCAUGUGUAAAUCGUGAAGGGUCCAGCAUGGUUUCAUGCCAUGUUUCAUUGUUUCUCAAGGUCCUGGGAGAAACCUUUAGAUUUGAUCAUGGGCUCGUUGUUGAGACUUCCAAUUGUAUGCUUUUUGAAUGCUCUGUGAUAUUUUAGUCCUUGCUUUUAUCAAUGUAAGAUUGGCUCAGGUUAGGGACCUUUAUUUUUUCAAGAUUCUUCGGUGGUUUUUGGUUUCUGGGGUUUUCUCCAGCUUCGUUCAUAGUUAGUUUCCUUAUUAAAGCACCUUUGUUCGAUAUUAGCUGUCAUGCUAGACACAUUAGUGCUCUGGGGAUGGUGUUUUUUCAUGUGUCUAUUGCUUUCUUUACCUUGGUGUGCGAUGCGCAAGUGUUUUUCCUAUCUCUCUCGAGGGAAAUCUUUCAUGGAUCUUACGUGUGUUGUUUCUGUUUCUGUCUUGCAUACUGAUUCAGUUUCCUUUUCCUUUUCUGUGAUGUUUGCCAUCCUGUUGACAAAUCUUGACGGUCGAUAAUGUUCCUGAUGUUGUUUUGCACCGUUACCCUGCCUGUUUAUGGUCUCUAGCUUGUACCAUCGCUGCUCAUGUUGUUCUUGCCUCCAAUCUUGAGUUUUUUUCAUCAUUCUGCCAUUGUUUCCGUCUGUGCACGAUGCCUUUCACUAACAAACAAAUGUACUCUGCUGUUUAUUACAUCACCAACCAAUUCAGGUAUCUUUCUUAUUUUAGUUACUCUGCGAUGCCGUGAUUGAUGACCGUUUUACUCUGCGACGGUCUGCUCACUGUUUUAUUUCAUUCUUCAUCACUUAGAUAAAUUCAUGCACCAUGGUUUGGUGCUCCCAUCAUUGGUUUUAUUAAAGGAAUGGACAGCACGCUGCUAUGAAGUCUACUUGAAAGGAACUGUGAGUAUACAUAGUUAUGUGUGCAUUGGUAAUACGUAAGCGAAGAAGAGAGGGGGUAAGAGCUGCAAUGAAGAUAAAGUGUCACUUAGGCAAAUAGAUGGGUUGGGUUAGGUAAGAAUCUGUGUACGUGACCUGAAGAAAAAAAUUAAAUUUUUGAGAUUGGCAAUCAAAUGAAGAUAAUACAGGCUCCACGUACAGAAAAAGCAACAUGAGAAAGUUCAAGAGAUGAUAAUUGCUACUAGAAACCAUGAUAUAUUAGUUAAAAAGAACAAACUAAGGAGCUAAAGUAUGAAAGAUAUGGGAACAUGAAUGAACAUGUACUGGAAAAUCAGGAUGGAAAAUAAAGGAUGUCAAGGUUUUAUGAUUCCAAAAACUGAUUGUAUUUUAUUUUCAUUUAUGUUUUGUCUAACCCUUCCCAUCUUCUCCAGCUUUUAGUGAUUCAGUGGCGCAUUACCUAUCUUUCCAGCAACACCAUUGUUGUGACAUCUUCAUUCCCAAAUCUCAAGCAUACAUGUACUUUGCAGGAUCCCUUGAGCUACAGCGCGCAAGUUGUGGAAAAACAACGAUCAUUCCUCUUUGAAGAUGACUAUUCCAGCUUUCGGCAUAGUUUUAAAACCUAGCCUAGUAGGUCGAUCAAGGACUUGGCUGAUCUUAAACUGGCCAGCUUUAAGUAAAGAUAGGGGAACAACAUUGUUUUGCUUUUUAAAAAAAAAAAUCAUUUACUAUAUAUUUUUUUAACAAAAACAACAUUGUUUUGUUUUUUUAAAAAAAAAAUUAGCUUGGUCAAAAUUUUAAUCAUAGGAUCAGGUUUAAAAAAACUAUGAUUUUCAGCCGUGUAGUUGACUUUGAAUUUUGGUACUUGCAGAUUUUCCCGGAGUCCUUUCUCGUUAGAUUUAGGAUUUUGGUCCGUUUGGUUUUUGUCUGGACAAGUCCUCGACUUGUUAACAAAAAACACUUUCAUAUUAUAGCUCACGGGCUGUUCUUAUGCUAUGCAGUCUGAUCUUUUGUCACCAAAAAUGUUUAGCCUGGUUUAUUUAUUUUGCUACACAGAACUCGCUUUUUAUGUAUUAGCCUUAUUAAUGUUGUUGAAGUAGAUGCGUUUGUAGCAUUUGUUCAACCAAGCGCAGGCACUGAUACUAGCUUAUUACCAUCGGAGAUGGCGAGAGAGGGAGGCAGAGCAUGGUUGUUUUUUGGGUGGCAGAUACGCAGGCACAAGGUUGUCUCCUCGAAACCAAAUGCAUGCACCGACAAAGAAAUACAACACUUUUCAUCCCUCGUCAUAUUUUAGCAAAAUCCAAAAGCAGAAAAAUGAUUUCAUUUUUAGCGUUAUGCAAAGAGAGAUGCAGCAAGAUAGAGGAGUGAGUGAAGAUGUGGAGCCAAAUUAAGAAGGCAGAUUGAAGCCGACGCAGGGAGAUGAUCAACAGCAGUAGCAUCCACAGAAGUGCCAGUCGCUGUCUCUCUGAAUACUUUGUUUUUUGGUUCUGAAUAUAAAGUUUUCUUAUUAAAACAAUUGAGGUUUGUUUGAAAUAAUGUGAUGUAAUGUAAUCAGUAAUGGAAACUGUAAUAGUGAACAACACAGUGAGAAUCAAA
Populus trichocarpa (black cottonwood) is the source of this 3022-nucleotide RNA transcript. RefSeq lists it as uncharacterized. The record is from RefSeq and is a predicted model, not a curated record. The transcript is spliced from 3 exons. NCBI's taxonomy places the organism in Eukaryota, Viridiplantae, Streptophyta, Magnoliopsida, Malpighiales, Salicaceae.